Lathyrus oleraceus (garden pea) is the source of this 1137-nucleotide long non-coding RNA. RefSeq lists it as uncharacterized. NCBI's taxonomy places the organism in Eukaryota, Viridiplantae, Streptophyta, Magnoliopsida, Fabales, Fabaceae. The transcript is spliced from 2 exons. The record is from RefSeq and is a predicted model, not a curated record.
AGUUAUCAUAGUUGCUUUUUCUUCCAAACACGCUCCCUCCCUCUCUUUAAUACCUAUGGUGGACGGAAAUCGCCCCGCCGCAUUAGAAAUCGCUUCCAGUGGGUUGGAUGUUGCAAGCUUGGCAUGAUAGAAGCAUGAAGUCUCGAGGUUCGACAUGGCUUGACAUGGAUAUUGGCAUGGAAAUAACCAUGAUAGAACUUUGGGAAAGGACUUGAGCCAAGCAAAGUCAAUACUCAAAGUUAACUGUGCCACAAAAGGUCAAAUGUAGCACAGUGAUCCCACGAGCUUGUUUCUCAAGUGCACGCCAUAAGAAAACCCUAAUCCAAGAAGAUUGAUAGCAUUUUUGUCAUAGUUCAACACCUUGUAUCAUAAGUCAUAGGAACCUUUGAAUCAAUGAUGUUACAUAUAGAGGCAAGUGCAGAUGAAUGAUCCUAGCAAUGGAUGAUUAGGGUAGGUGUAUGCAAAUGAAUCAUGGGCCAUGAGUCAGAUGAAAUAAAAAUAGGUAUGGAAAAUUUUGGGGUAAGAUAGCUACUCGUAUUUAAUCAUCUUAAACCUGAAUGUACGAAUGGUGACAACUUUCUGGGGAUUCGAGGCAGAAGAGGAUUGGAUACAAAGACUAUAAAACUUGUCCUUUGAGAAGGAAGUGGAUGUAAUGUGAUGAUACUAGGUCCAUUAUCAUGAUUUUGUUUGUUGGGGAUAUGGAAUGGCAGAGAGACUUUGUAGGGUCUAUUAACUGAAAUGCUUGGUUGGGGAAUAGAUCAGUCGUAAAAGGGAUGUCCGUUAUGCAUUAUGAAAUGCUUAUACUUGAAUUUAUGGUGUAUGAGAUUAUGCAUGAUAUGCUAUUUUUCUGGAAGGAAAUGAUUGAUAUCUGCAAGGAUGAGACUUCUUUUUGUGUAGUGGUGAACUUCAAUUUUCCGACAUCCAAUAAUUGAACCAGAGAGUUUGUAACAAGGGAAAGAGCUUCAGGUUACUACAACUAUUGAGAUUUCAUUGGAUUCCUUCCGAGAUAGAGAAUAGCUUAUGACUUGAUUGGAUGGUCAUUGAGACGCUUUCAUGUAUUAAGCGUACACUAUAUACUACUGAUCUUACUUUAGAAUUUUUCAAAUAAUAAAGGCAAUGCAAACGUUAUUCUUUUUA